UACGGGGGGGGCUAGCGUUGUUCGGAAUCAUUGGGCGUAAAGCGCACGUAGGCGGCCUUGCAAGUCGGAUGUGAAAUCCCUCGGCUUAACCGGGGAACUGCAUCUGAUACUGGGUGGCUUGAGAUUGGGAGAGGGAUGCGGAAUUCCAGGUGUAGCGGUGAAAUGCGUAGAUAUCUGGAGGAACACCGGUGGCGAAGGCGGCAUCCUGGACCAACACUGACGCUGAGGAGCGAAAGCCAGGGGAGCAAACGGG
This 253-nucleotide ribosomal RNA is filed under the name uncultured bacterium. RNAcentral describes it as "partial 16S ribosomal RNA". It matches the Rfam family "Bacterial small subunit ribosomal RNA", at positions 524 to 776 of the family's 1533-position model. The record is from RNAcentral.